Molecule: signal recognition particle RNA, 114 nt
Filed under: Thermanaerovibrio acidaminovorans DSM 6589
Lineage: Bacteria; Thermotogati; Synergistota; Synergistia; Synergistales; Synergistaceae
Description: SRP RNA; RNA component of signal recognition particle
Rfam family: Bacterial small signal recognition particle RNA (bases 8-106)
About the family: The signal recognition particle (SRP) is a universally conserved ribonucleoprotein involved in the co-translational targeting of proteins to membranes. Archaeal SRP consists of a 7S RNA and homologues of the eukaryotic SRP19 and SRP54 proteins.
Source: RNAcentral
GGCCGGAGGUCUAGCCCCGUGCGGCGAAGCCUCGCGAACCCCGCCAGGUCCGGAAGGAAGCAACGGUAAGCGAUAAGCUUCGGGUGCCACGGCAAGCUGGGCCUCCCGCCCGGG